RNAcentral lists this ribosomal RNA (342 nucleotides) under Triticum aestivum (bread wheat). RNAcentral describes it as "partial small subunit ribosomal RNA". Lineage: Eukaryota; Viridiplantae; Streptophyta; Magnoliopsida; Poales; Poaceae. The record is from RNAcentral.
AUGGUGUAUUACAUCAUGCUCUACUCCAUGGGGCGGAUCGAGUACAAUUGGGCCCCCGACACCGCUAGCUUCCGGCCUGAGCGGUGGACCAACGAUAACGACAGGUUCCGCAGCAAGUUCAUGGCGUUCCACAGUGCUGCGGCUCUUCCUAGGCAAGGACCUGGCGUACCUGGAGAUGAAGAUGGUGCUGGGCAUCUUGUGCAGUUGGUGACCAUCCUCUCGGUGGCGCAUGGCCUGAAGGUCCGCAUCUUCAGGUUACAUUUGUUUGGUGGAGAAGAUGAAGAUAAAGAGAGCCAGUUGGUGGGGGAGUUAACUGGGGAGAUGGAUUUUUUUUUGACGUGA